AGCCCACUGAACUGCAUAGAAGAGCCAAGAGUUAUUCAACCUGCCCAAGUAAUUCUAUUACACCACCAACAUCAGAACCAUGCUUUAUGGAUGCUUCAACUACAAAUGGCAAGUUUCUUAUCUUUGGAGAGGACUGAAAUCAAAGGUCAGAACAUCAACAAAAAAGCAAAGUAUUCUUUUGGAACAAGCUCCAUAUCUAGAGAAACAGCUGAUUCUAGUGAGAAUUUCAGUAGUUCCUAGAGAGUGACUGUGGAAAAGGCAAGCACAGCAGGAGACACCUGAGAUUGCACUGGAUGCAGGGAGUGAGGUGCCAAUUGUGGCUGGAACUAUAGGAAGGAGCGGGCAGGCCAGAGCUGUUUCCCUGGGAUUCCAGAACAGAAGGCUGUGCCACACAGAGGUCCCCUGGGUCACAAUAGCAGCUGAAUCUCAGUGGCCAUGACAGCAAGGCAACAACGGGGCCAGCUCCCCAAGGUCCAUGUAAGUGCAGCUGCCCAGGACUCCCCUUGCUGUCCAGACAUAGGCUCUCCUACCUGCUUCCAACUUCAGUUCUGUGGCAUUUCCAGGAAAUAUGGGUAGUUAACACAUAACCAUGCUCAAUGAGAGCCAACCUGUGGCUGUGCGGCCCUUUCUCGGCACGUGGCCCAAGCCUGUGCUGGGUCUACGCAGUGAAGUACAAGGAUUAAACGUUUAUGACAUCCCACCACUGAUCUAAAAGGAUCCACUCACAGAGGAAAAUGAAGACUGAAAAGCCAACACCAACACCACCCUUCUGUGCUUCUCAGCACUUCUGGGCCUUCACGUCCUCCUUUUCCUCCCCCACCUUUAUAAGCACUCUCCUUUUCUUCAAUAUACACUCCAAACCCUCUCCGUCCCACCUUAAGUGAUCUGCCUUGAGCUGAGCCCGUUUUUUAAACAGAUUUAUCUUAAUUCCAAGGCCAGAAUUCAGGUACCAGAAAUGGGUACUUUGCCCAGAUCAUCCCUGACAAAAAUAUUUGCCUAUUAACACAAUCUUACUACAACUAAAUAGAAAACAAAAACUGUUGACCUAUAAGAUAAAUGAAUCUUUCAAAGCAUUAUUUGGUUGCUCUACCUGAAGAAUACUAAAUUGUAACCCAGUCAUCCAGCAUGAGACUCUACCUGUAAACCUCGAAGGCUUAUUCCUGCCUAGAGCCCCAGGGAAGCAGCUUCCACCUCCACAUUCCAAGCUGCCAUGGAAACAACAAUGCUGCCUAUUCCACUACAGGCUUUGCGAGACUCCUCUGAAGACCUCCCUCCAGAGUCCACAGUUGCGAGACUCCUCUGAAGACCCCUAUCCAGAGUCCACAGUUGCGAGACUCCUCUGAAGACCCCUCUCCAGAGUCCACAGUUGACUUCCUCCUCAGAGUCCUACCACAGGAUUAAUUCCUGAAAUCUUUCCCAAAUCCAAACGUUAAGCAUUAUCUACAUCAGUCAAUGUCCUACUAAAAGUUUCCAUUACACAUGCUAUAAAUU
Molecule: long non-coding RNA, 1491 nt
Filed under: Homo sapiens (human)
Lineage: Eukaryota; Metazoa; Chordata; Mammalia; Primates; Hominidae
Description: HSALNT0331679
Source: RNAcentral